UACGGAGGGUGCAAGCGUUAUCCGGAUUCACUGGGUUUAAAGCGCGCGUAGGCGGCUUUGCAAGUCGGGUGUGAAAUCCCCAGGCUUAACCUGGGAACUGCUCGGUAUACUGCUUUUCUUGAGCCACUUAGGGGCUACCGGAACAAAUGGUGGAGCGGUGAAAUGCGUAGAUAUCAUUUGGAACGCCAAUGGUGAAAACAGGUAGCUGGGAGUGUGCUGACGCUGAGACACGAAAGCCAGGGGAGCGAACGGG
Molecule: ribosomal RNA, 253 nt
Filed under: uncultured bacterium
Lineage: Bacteria
Description: partial 16S ribosomal RNA
Rfam family: Bacterial small subunit ribosomal RNA
Source: RNAcentral